AUUUCAUUCAUUAGGCGCGUUUCAUAGACAUUUAAAGUCACCUUACAACAAAAGAGUAGAAGAAAAAAAGUACCAGUAAUAAACAAUUAAAAAACAUUUUAAAAGACAAAGUGCAUGGAGCUUUUUUUGAUUCAACUAGUUAAGCACUAAUCUGAGAAAUGUGCAAAGUCCAUUAGAGCUCAUAUUAGGAGGCAACUUGAUGAAGAUCAACACAAAUGAGGUCAGUUCCAGCAUUGCAGAAUCACAAGUCUGCCAGUUUAACAGAGCAAAGAUUUGAACAAACACUCCUGUCUUCCCUCAUGCAAUGAAAAUCCUUAGAUUUACAACAGACGGGAAAAGUAAUUAUGUUCUAUAAACGCAGCUCCAGAGAAAAAAAGUGUCUACAGCUCAGGUCAGAGGACAUAGAGGAAGAUGGAGACCACAACCAGGAAGAAGCACAAGGCCACCACUGCUACGAUCACCCACGUCACGGUGGCGUCUGUGAAGAAACGACAUGGCAACAACUUCCUGUCUCCCUCCCACGUUCUGAGCGACACACUUUAUCUCCACAUGGUCAUCUUCUUCAGAUAUAUCCGCAAUAAUUAGCCUCAAUUCAAUCUGACACAUUGUGGACACCCUGGUUACCCUGGAGAGACGGAAACAGAAAAGAAAACGUAAAGAUUUUCAGCAAAAACACUAAAAAAGAGCUCUUCUGCUCAAAUAAGAGGACUCCACUGACUGCUCGUCUACCUGCCACAUGACCAAAGUUGAAUCUGCUGUUGGACACUCGGUGAGCACCUGACAGAACAUUUCCAGCCCCG
This is a non-coding RNA of Oryzias latipes (Japanese medaka), 800 nucleotides long. Lineage: Eukaryota; Metazoa; Chordata; Actinopteri; Beloniformes; Adrianichthyidae. The record is from RefSeq and is a predicted model, not a curated record.